This 637-nucleotide ribosomal RNA is filed under the name uncultured bacterium. RNAcentral describes it as "bacterial SSU rRNA". It matches the Rfam family "Bacterial small subunit ribosomal RNA", at positions 607 to 1244 of the family's 1533-position model. The record is from RNAcentral.
GCUUAACCGAAGAAGUGCAUCGGAAACUGGGUGACUUGAGUGCAGAAGAGGACAGUGGAACUCCAUGUGUAGCGGUGGAAUGCGUAGAUAUAUGGAAGAACACCAGUGGCGAAGGCGGCUGUCUGGUCUGCAACUGACGCUGAGGCUCGAAAGCAUGGGUAGCGAACAGGAUUAGAUACCCUGGUAGUCCAUGCCGUAAACGAUGAGUGCUAGGUGUUGGAGGGUUUCCGCCCUUCAGUGCCGGAGCUAACGCAUUAAGCACUCCGCCUGGGGAGUACGACCGCAAGGUUGAAACUCAAAGGAAUUGACGGGGGCCCGCACAAGCGGUGGAGCAUGUGGUUUAAUUCGAAGCUACGCGAAGAACCUUACCAGGUCUUGACAUCUUGCGCUAACCUAAGAGAUUAGGCGUUCCCUUCGGGGACGCAAUGACAGGUGGUGCAUGGUCGUCGUCAGCUCGUGUCGUGAGAUGUUGGGUUAAGUCCCGCAACGAGCGCAACCCUUGUUACUAGUUGCCAGCAUUCAGUUGGGCACUCUAGUGAGACUGCCGGUGACAAACCGGAGGAAGGUGGGGAUGACGUCAGAUCAUCAUGCCCCUUAUGACCUGGGCUACACACGUGCUACAAUAGUCGGUACAACG